GGCCCCAUGGUCAAGCGGUUAAGACGCCGCCCUCUCACGGCGGUAACAGGGGUUCGAAUCCCCUUGGGGUCA
This 72-nucleotide transfer RNA is filed under the name Clostridiaceae bacterium. RNAcentral's name for it is "tRNA-Glu". It matches the Rfam family "tRNA". From Rfam's summary of the family: Transfer RNA (tRNA) molecules are approximately 80 nucleotides in length. Their secondary structure includes four short double-helical elements and three loops (D, anti-codon, and T loops). Lineage: Bacteria; Bacillati; Bacillota; Clostridia; Eubacteriales; Clostridiaceae. The record is from RNAcentral.